Molecule: ribosomal RNA, 232 nt
Filed under: uncultured bacterium
Lineage: Bacteria
Description: partial 16S ribosomal RNA
Rfam family: Bacterial small subunit ribosomal RNA
Source: RNAcentral
GAUCAUGGCUCAGGAUGAACGCUAGCUACAGGCUUAACACAUGCAAGUCGAGGGGAAACGAUAUUGGAAGCUUGCUUCCGAUAGGCGUCGACCGGCGCACGGGUGAGUAACGCGUAUCCAACCCGCCCACCACUUGGGGAUAACCUUGCGGAAGUAAGACUAAUACCCAAUGAUAUCUCUAGAAGACAUCUGAAAGAGAUUAAAGAUUCAUCGGUGAUGGAUGGGGAUGCGU